UUCAUCAGCCUUACUGAUCCUGAGAGCCCCAUUGCCCAGAAAUGUAAUCUCCUCAAGGUCAGGAACGCCUUGGCACAUCCGUAGAGUUCAGUCAUUAGGGGUGGUGUCUCUCUAUGUUGCCCAGACUGUUUUCUAACCCCAGCCUCAAGCAAAUUUCCCACCCUCUUCUCCCAAAAUGCUGGGAUUACAAGUGUGAGCUACUGUACCCAGCCUACUUAGGAGGACAUUUACUAUUCACUUACUGAUUUGUAUCAAAUUAUUGAUUGGUGGUGUUUCAGGAAGUGGAAGCUUGGCCAGCCCCACAUACAGCCUGAGCGAGACAUGCCCUUCAUUUGUUAAGCAGCUGAGGAUUUGUAACUACUUGUGACUGCAGCAUGUCCAAGAAUGUUUUGUCUGACACACGACAAUGAGUGCAUAUAUAAUGAUUCCACAAGAGCC
Symphalangus syndactylus (siamang) is the source of this 438-nucleotide long non-coding RNA. RefSeq lists it as uncharacterized. NCBI's taxonomy places the organism in Eukaryota, Metazoa, Chordata, Mammalia, Primates, Hylobatidae. The record is from RefSeq and is a predicted model, not a curated record.